CUGUGCUCUGAACUCUCAGGCUCUGCCAUAUUUCUCAUUACACUGGUAUUUGGGCACUUCAAAGGGAAAGGAAACAUAACUGUCCCAAGCACUGAGCUAGAUUCUGAGCACGUAGGAGUCAGGAGAGGGUGAUACAGAAUAGACUAGGUGAAAUAUGGCUAGAUUUCUGGUAGAAAAGGAUUAAUUCAUUCCAUCCAAAUUCUUCAUUUUAUAGAUAAGAAAAUUGAGGUUCGAAAUGGGGAAGGGGCUUACCAAGUUCCCAUAGGGAAGUUUAGAUGUCCUGACUUCCAGGUAAGAUGCCAGGCUAUUGGACCCUGCUCAGGAAUGAUGGUCCACACAGCUGCACCUCUGUACAGCCAAUAUUCCUUUUUUAAAAACCUUGCCCAACAACUUGGCAGUGUCUAAUGCGAGCUACAAAACAUUUUCUAUUCUUUGAUCAAGCAGUUUCACUCUUGGUAAAGUAGGGGAGACUGUGCAAAGAUGCAGAAAUAGCCAAUUUAAUAGCAAAAACUGGAAAUAAACCCGAGUCCUGACAAUAAGAAAAUCGCCAAGCUUAUUGGGAUCUGUUAACACAAUGAAGAAUUAAAGAAUGAUUUUAAAUGGCUAGAAUGUGAACUAUAUUGAUAGAUAUAGAAUCCUUCCCCGUGAAAUAAGCAGAACCCAAAGUAGUAUGGGUUCGCUGAUUACAACUAUAUAAGAAAUUCAUGGGUAUUAAAUAACAGAAGAGAGGUCCUUUACAUAAACCAUUUUUCCUAUGUGACUGUGCAGUGGGAUAAAAGCUCUCAUACUGCUGGUAGAAGUGUAAGUUGAUUAAACUGGAAAAAAUAGUUUGACAACUUAUAUAGAAAUUUAAGAUUUUUUUUUUUUUUGAGAUGGAGUCUCGCUCUGUCGCCCAGGCUGGAGUGCAGUGGCCUGAUCUCAGCUUGCUGCAAGCUCCACCUCCCAGGUUCAUGGCAUUCUCCUGCCUUAGCCUCCCAAGUAGCUGGGACUACAGGUGCCCGCCACCACGCCCAGCUAAUUUUGUUUUUGUAUUUUUAGUAGAGUUGGGGUUUCACCAUGUUAGCCAGGAUGGCUUUGAUCUCCUGACCUCGUGAUCUGCCCGCCUCGGCCUCCCAAAGUGCUGGGAUUACAGGCGUGAGCCACCGCACCCGGCCAGAAUUUAGGAAUGUUUUGAAUACUGAAGAGAUGAAAAAAAAUAGAAAAAUAAAAAUGUUCCCAAUAAUUCCAUGUUUAGGAAUAUAGCCUAAGGAAAUGUUCUUAGAAAAAUAUUUAUAGGUCAGGCGGGGUGCCUCACGCCUAUAAUCCUAGCACUUUGGGAGGUCGAGGCAGGCGGAUUGCCUGAGCUCAGGAGUUCAAGACCAGCCUGAACAAAAGAAAUCGGCUGGGCGUGGCGGCGUGCGCCUGUAGUCCCAGCUACUCGGGAGGCUGAGGCAGGAGAAUUGCUUGAAUCCGGGAGGCAGAGGUUGCAGUGAGCCGAGAUUGUGCCACUGCACUCCAGCCUGGGCAACAAAGCAAGAUUCUAUAUCCACACACAAAAAAAGAAAACUAUUUAUAAACAAAAAAUAUUCAUUAAAGCAGUAUCUAUGAUAGCGGGAAAUGGAAACACUCUAAAUGCCCAUCAGUGAAAUAUUUUGCAGACAUUGAAAAUAAUGUCAUCUUUCCUUUAAUACAGAAUCAAGGAAAAAUGUUUUAUGUAAAUCUUUUAUUUUAUUAUACUUUAAGUUUUAAGGUACAUAUGCACAACAUGGAGGUUUGUUACAUAUGUAUACAUGUGCCAUGUUGGUGUGCUGCACCCAUUAACUCGUCAUUUAGCAUUAGGUAUAUCUCCUAAUGCUAUCCCUCCCCCCUCCCCCGAAUCAAGGAAAAUUAAAUAAUAUGAUGUAAGUUUGGCUACAGAGAUAACUGUUCUAUAAAAAGACUAGGUUGGGCGCGGUGGCUCACACCUGUAAUCCCAGCACUUUGGGAGGCAGAGGCAGGUGGACCACCUGAGGCCAGGAGCUCGAGACCCACCUGGCCAACAUGGUGAAACUCUGUCUCUACUAAAAUACAAAAAUUAGUGCCUGUAAUCCCAGCUACUUGGGAGGCUGAGUCAGGAGAAUCACCUGGGCAACAUGGUGAGACUGCACCUCAGAAAAAACCAAAAAACCCAUACCACUUGUAAGAUAAUUCCUUGAUCAACCCCACCUACCUAGAACCAUUCAUUAAGUGUUUUAUUUAACAUUUGUGGGGUGUCUCCUCUUUGUAUUCCCAGCACCUACUUUGGUAAGGUGCUGGGAAUACAAAGUUCAGUACUAUAUGGGUCAUGCCUAGUCAUGUCUACUGGAGGAGAGAGACAAGUGAGUCACGGAUUAUAGGUCAGUAGGAUAGAUGCAAAUUAAAUUCAUCUUACUCAGGAUUUAAACAGCUUAUAUGACAUGACUUUGCAUUCAUGUUUCUUUGCUUUUCAUGUGUUCUUAGGUCAGUGUCAUGUAUUUUGCUACCUCCCUAACGAGCUUAUAAUCCAGGAUAGGGCUGUGGAUUCUGUUUAUACUACCAAUACAUAUUCAGAGCACCUUGGUUUGGAGUUCUAGGUGGAAUCCCACAUAAAUUUGCUGAAUUGGCCGGGCGUGGCAGCUCAUGCCUGUAAUCCCUGCACUUUGGGAGGGUGAGGAGGGCGGAUCACCUGAGGUCAGGAGCUCCAGACCCACUUGGCCAACACGGUGAAACCCUGUCUCUACUAAAAUACAAAAAUUAGCCGGGUGUGGUGGGGGGUGCCUGUAAUCCCAGCUACUUUGUGGGGGUGAGGCAGGAGAAUCGCUUGAACCCAGGAGGCAAAGGUUGCAGUGAGCCGAGAUUGCACCACUGCACUCCAGCCUGGGUGACAGAGCCAGACUCUGUCUCUAAAUAAAUAAAUAAAUAAAAAAUUUGCUGAAUCAACUGAUGAUUUCAACCUGAAAAAAUACAGGUGAGUAAGCCUAUAGGCCACUAGGCAAAUGUCGUGUUGCCCUCUCAUCUCCUUACCCACCUACACAGGUGGUCACACAGACUGCAAUAAACCCAUAUCCAGGUCAACUAAAGGAAACCUUUGCCUUGCAGGCCCUGUUGAUCCUAAGGGAACUUGCCUCAUCCUGGAUAUGAAUCACAUACUUAAUUUUAGGUUGCCACUUGUGAAUACUAACUGUUCUGGCCAAAUUAAUCCUCAAGGAACAGAACGAAAUGAGCUUAAGACCCUAAUGCCAGGCCAGGCACAGUGACUCGUGCCUAUAAUCCCAGUGCUUUGGGAGGCUGAGGUGGGAGGAUUACUUGAGCUCAGGAGUUGGAGACCAGCCUAGACAACAUAGUGAGACCCCUUCCUAACUGUCCCACCAUUUUCUCUCUAAAGAAAAGAAAAAAAAAGACCUUAAUGCCGAUUGUAAUGAAGCCAUAAUUGAAUAACCUAACUGCCAGUGGCUGUUGGAAUAACCUGAAUUGUAUUCCUCGAGCACUUAGUAUGCAUUCCUUAGUUUUACUGCACUUCUUAUCACCAGAACAGGAAAGGAAUGGUGUCCUACAGCUCCUUGACCAAGUACCUCUCCACCAAUACUAUGAGCACUAAAGAUGCAGCAACGAAGCACUAGACUCUGGGAUGUGAAGAUCUCAAAUUCUAUUCUCUGUGCACUUCAGAGUUGGAGAAGGAUCCAUCAAGUUUCAGUAGAAUGUACCAAGGAAGGGAGGCAAUGUGGUAGAAUGGAAAGAAUAAGGAUUGUAGUUGAGACACCUGCAACCUGGACCUGCUAGUCCACCUACUGCUGUGUAAUCUUGGACAUUAUGUCCACCUCUAUGGGUUUCGGAUCCCUUAUCUGUAAAGUGAAGAGAUUGUCCAGAUGCUUUCCAGCACUAGCAAUCUGUGCUUUAAAGUUUUACCUAACAUACCAUACCUUUUAUCAAUGUCCACCUAGAGAUAAUAACCCAGCUUAUUUUAUUUGAGUUUUGAGACAGGGUCUUGCUCUGUCUUGCACUCCAGCUGGAGUGCAGUGGCACGAUCAUGGAUCACUGAAGUCUCCACCUCUGCGGUUCAAGCAUUCCUCCCACCUCAGCCUCCCGAGUAGCUGGGACUAUAGGCAUGCACCACCACAUCCAACUAAUUUUUUAUAUUUUUGUACAGACAGGGUCUCACUGUGUUGCCCAGGCUGGUCUCAAACUCCUGGGCUCAAGUGAUCCUCCCACCUUGGCCUCCCAAAGUGUUGGGAUUACAGGUGUGAGCCACCACGCCUGGCCUAACCCAGUUUCUUAGAUAGGGUCCCCAGCCUGUCAUUUAAGGCAUCUAAAUUUGAUGCACUUACUAAGUUGAUGCCAUUUUUGUUGUUGAAAAUUAUUCAUUUUUUAAAAAUAGUUAUGACUUUCACCACAUAUUAAUAAAUCAUUAUCUAGUGA
Homo sapiens (human) is the source of this 4392-nucleotide long non-coding RNA. RefSeq lists it as uncharacterized. The transcript is spliced from 2 exons. The record is from RefSeq and is a predicted model, not a curated record. NCBI's taxonomy places the organism in Eukaryota, Metazoa, Chordata, Mammalia, Primates, Hominidae.